ACGAACGCUGGCGGCAUGCCUCACCCAUGCCAGUCGAACGAGACCUUCGGGUCUAGUGGCGCACGGGUGCGUAACGCGUGGGAACCUGCCCUUAGGUUCGGAAUAACUCCCCGAAAGGGGUGCUAAUACCGGAUAAUGUCUUCGGACCAAAGAUUUAUCGCCUUUGGAUGGGCCCGCGUUGGAUUAGCUAGUUGGUAGGGUAAAAGCCUACCAAGGCGACGAUCCAUAGCUGGUCUGAGAGGAUGAUCAGCCACACUGGGACUGAGACACGGCCCAGACUGCGAGGGGGGGAAGGAGGGGAGAAGAUUGAACAAGGGGGAAAGGAGUGAUCCAGCAAUGCGGGGGAAGUGAUGAAGGCCGCGGUGUUGAAGAGCUAUUGCACGGGGGAUAAUAAAGAGAGAACGGGGAGAAGAAGCCCCGGCCAACGCGGGGCCAGCAGCCGGGGUAAUAAUAGGAAGAGCACACGUCGGAAC
This 473-nucleotide ribosomal RNA is filed under the name uncultured bacterium. Its description in RNAcentral is "partial 16S ribosomal RNA". It matches the Rfam family "Bacterial small subunit ribosomal RNA", at positions 30 to 543 of the family's 1533-position model. The record is from RNAcentral.